Long non-coding RNA from Lutra lutra (Eurasian river otter), 253 nucleotides. RefSeq lists it as uncharacterized. The transcript is spliced from 3 exons. The record is from RefSeq and is a predicted model, not a curated record. NCBI's taxonomy places the organism in Eukaryota, Metazoa, Chordata, Mammalia, Carnivora, Mustelidae.
UGAGGUGACAGCGACUGCAACUUCGACUCCAGCAGGAGGAGGCGAAGAUGGACAAGGGGAAGACCAGGUGACGUCGAUCUUCAUCCGAAAUUGUCACAGAAGGAAAAAGGAAAAAGUCUUCAUCUUGAGUUACAUAAGAUAACACAGAUGUUAAAUGCGAAACCAGAAGAUGUUCAUGUUCAGUCACCACUGUCCAAACUAAGAAGCUCAGAACACUGGGAUCUCCCUUUGCAGGGGUAGAAAAGAAGCAUAA